AACGAACGCUGGCGGCAUGCCUAACACAUGCAAGUCGAACGAGACCUUCGGGUCUAGUGGCGCACGGGUGCGUAACGCGUGGGAAUCUGCCCUUGGGUCCGGAAUAACUCAGAGAAAUUUGAGCUAAUACCGGAUGAUGACGUAAGUCCAAAGAUUUAUCGCCCAGGGGUGAGCCCGCGUAGGAUUAGCUAGUUGGUGAGGUAAAGGCUCACCAAGGCGACGAUCCUUAGCNGGUC
This 236-nucleotide ribosomal RNA is filed under the name uncultured bacterium. RNAcentral describes it as "partial 16S ribosomal RNA". It matches the Rfam family "Bacterial small subunit ribosomal RNA", at positions 29 to 292 of the family's 1533-position model. The record is from RNAcentral.